This is a non-coding RNA of Rattus norvegicus (Norway rat), 3171 nucleotides long. NCBI's taxonomy places the organism in Eukaryota, Metazoa, Chordata, Mammalia, Rodentia, Muridae. The record is from RefSeq and is a predicted model, not a curated record.
UAGCGAAGGUCCCCUGGGAAACCAAAACCUUGGGAAUGGAAAAAUCUUGGUUUCCCAGGGAAGCAGACUGGGCUUCUACUAUAGCAGCCAAAUAGAAACCCAGCCAUGGAACUUCCCCGGCACCCACCAAUGAAGUUUUAGCCUACCUAACCUUUGGUAAAAUUCUCCUAGUUUCCUAUAAAAAGGGCUGUGUGCCUUUGUCUGGGGAUGGAAUUUUGGUGAAGGGUUGACCCCUGCAUGCUGGUAAUUUCUGCAGAAUAAACACUUUUUGCAUUUGCACUCUCUUUGAGUCUGGGGUCCUCCUCCAGCAAUUCUUGAACCCCAACAGUAGUUUGUUGUGGAUUUGGUUUAAUGCUUGCACAAUAAUUCUGAUUGUGAGUUGCUGUCCCAAGCCGGUUCUAACUGGCAAAUAAAGUUGCUGGCAGCCAUUGGCUGGGCAGGGAGACAGAGAUGGGACUUUGGAUUUCUCUGGCAAGGGAACUCAGGGAAGAAGGAAGAUUUAGAACCAUCAUGUCAGGGAAGUAGAAAGAUCAGGCCUGAGAAGUGCAGGACAGAAAGACAGCCAAAAUGCAAGAAUCUGGGAUCAUGGCCCAGGAGGGCUGCAGACCAGGGCAGUCAGGAUGGAAUACAGGUUUUAGUAAGUAAUAAUUCAGGAAUAUCAGAGGGGAGAGUGUGCUAGUCGAAUGGAGGUUUGGGAGUGGCCCCAUCAUUGAGCUGCUUAGGGCAUAUUAAAAGUAAGGCUCCGUGUGUGUGUGUGUGUGUGUGUGUGUGUGUGUGUGUGUGUGUGUCUUUAUUGGAGAAUCCACAGCAUUGGGACAGUAGCAAGGAACUUGUGCUGCCACCACCAGGCAAACAGAGCAGAUUAAUGAACAACAGUAGUUUUGUGGAUGGCCAAGAUGGCCAUGUCUGUAUGGGGAUGACCAUGAUAGAGCUUACAAAAGAUAAUGAAGCCCGUAUUGUUGUUCUGGGUCUACACUGUAUCCAGCUGACAUGUUCACCCUAACACCACAACAACAUUGUACUUUCUGUUUUAAUUAGUGUUUCCAUUGCAACUCUUAUAAGGGAUACCAUUUCACUGGGGCUGACUUACAGGUUCAGAGGUUCAGUUCAAUCAAGGCAGUGUCUAGGAGUCGUGGUGCCAGAGGAGCCAAGAGUUUUACAUCUUUAUUGAAAGGCAGCCAGGAGAAGAGUGGCUCCCACAUGGCUAGGAGGAGGAUCUCUAAGCCCAUCACCACAGUGACGCACUUCCUCCAACAAGGCCACACCUCCUAAUAGUGCCACUCCCUAGGCCAACCACGUACAAACCAUCACAUUCUUUUAUACAGAAAAUAUCUGCUUGCCUGUCACAAGCCUCUCCUUCCUUUGCUUUCUUCUAUUCACCUUCCUAGAGACCUGCAAGGAUCCUAGUCCAGGGCUUAGGUAAAAAGGACAGCAAUGGUAGCUCUCCCAACCCGUGCCAGAAGUAAUUCUUUAGAGCCUCACCCCUGCCUGCCCUGAAGUUCAAGGGGAGAGCUGGGCGGGCGCUGAGGACAGCUCUUCCACCACCUACAUCUUCCCAACACCACUAGUUUCACAUGCCGAUCCUACCAGUUGCUUCCAGGCUCCCAGCUGUCCUACAGGACUAACAACUGUGGACAAAGGUGUUCCUACGUGGGGCCUUGCAUUACCGGGGCGUUCAAAAGUGAAGCCACCGACAGCAAUUCAUCCUGGCAGGUUGGGAAUCCAAAGCCACAAAUAACAUGGUGCACAGCCUAAGUGACAAGCUUCCCACUGGUGUUCCCACUGUAUAGAUCAGACCACGACAAUGGCUUCUCUCCCCCUCAGACCUCUGGUUGUUAACUUCGCUCCAUUGCUAUAUUCUAUUUAUUUAGGCUUCGCCACAUCUUACUUGCUCAUAAAUUCUCCCUAUUUGUUUACUGUAGUUAGUGAUAUUUCUGAGAAUAUGGAUUUAGUUCCCCUGGUAGUAAGACAGUCCCUUGAGUAUGUUUCCAGAAAGCAAGCCAACAAACAGGAGAACCAUUUAUCCUUAUACACUCUUAACUUGAGUGUUGAUCUAAACAAAAGCUAGAAUCAUUUCUAUAAGCAAUCUUAUCUCUGAACUUACCAACCCAAAAUGUUGGACCUAUCUUUUACAGGAAGCCUCAGUCCACAGAUCUUGAAGAAUUUACCUCAGAGAUGCUAACGGGGAGUAUGUGCAUCACAAUAUCAUAGGACUUAGUCCCAGGAGAGUAGCAACUCAAUCUGGAAAUUUCAACUUCAGUUAUCUUGGACUCCUGCUGUGCUGUACCCUCAAGAAUUGGCACAGGCUCCAUCCGGAAAUCGAAAAGAAAGAUGCCAAUGUUUUAUUGUAACACAAUCUGGCUUCAACACAAGCUGGAAGACAAAGAAGUUUGGUCAAAAGCUGGAAGUGUUCUCUAACCAUGUGAGGAAGGAGUGUGAUACCAAUGGCUCUUUAAGGUCAAGCACUUCACAGUUACUCAUCAACAUUUUUAUGGAAGCCAGAUAACUUCCCAGGGGAGAGGACUGUGUUUGUUUUGAAGUUCAUCACCUUUACUCUGAUGGACGUAGAGCUCUCAGCUGCCUCUCCAGCACCAUGUCUACCUAGGUGCUGCCUUGCUUCCCACCAUGAUGAUAAAGGACUCUGAACUGUAAGCCAGCCCCAAUUAAAUGCUGUCCUCUAUAAGAGUUGCCUUGGUCACGGUGUCUCUUUACAGCAGUAGAACACUGACUAAGGCCCGGAUGAAGAGGAAUAGGAGAAUGACAUGCCAAUCCCAACACUAAACCACAGGGUGACUAGAAAACGUUGCAGAGUCCCUGUGGCCUGACACCCUCUGGUCUCACAGCAAUCCUGGAAAGAAGUGUUAGGAAUCCAAGCUUUGAGCGAUGCAUGGUUUGUCCUUUAAAGGGAUGGAGCUAGAAACCAACCUAGAAACCCUUCUGCCCUGCAGAGCGCUGCCCAUCUGCAAUGAGAAAUUAUCUAAGAAAGAACGACACAUGAGCUCUAGGGAGACCCUAACCCAAAGCCCGAGUAUUGCCUGUACACUGUGUCCGGAUCACACCAAGCUCCGGGGAAGUUGCGCCUUCCUUUCAAAGGAUUUUUUUUUUUGUAAUUAUGUUUAUGCUGGGGAGAGGUGGGGUUGUACACACAUGUGCAAGAGGCGUCAGAGACUG